Molecule: long non-coding RNA, 926 nt
Filed under: Salvia miltiorrhiza (redroot sage)
Lineage: Eukaryota; Viridiplantae; Streptophyta; Magnoliopsida; Lamiales; Lamiaceae
Description: long non-coding RNA (SMIL_LNC008732)
Source: RNAcentral
UUUACAAUUUUUUUUUGAUAAGCCCAAUGCAUAUUAUCGGCCCAACAUUAACGUAGUGUAGAUAAUUAGCAUUUCACUCUUAUUUUUUUUGGUAAAAUUGGUUUUAACGUGUUGCUCAAUUACAUCAGCCAGCAAUCUUAUUCACCACAUUUUUCAGCCACGUAUCACUCCAAUUCUUAUCUCAUUUAAAUUACCUCAUCUCAUCUCUGAAAUUCCUGUGAAACUUCAAAUUUGCUCAAAUCUCUUCAGUCUCCUACUAUAGAACUUCAGAUGGUAAAUUUAUUUUCUGUGAUUUUAAAUCAUCGAAGCAAUUCUAGUUUCUCCUCUUUUAUAUUGAACAAAAACAUAACAGGCCUUUCUAAAUAAUUUUGUUCUUGAAUCAAAUUCAGCAUACACAUGCUUCAAAUCAAACAAUUUUCCUAAAUCAUUCACCUAAUUCAUGAGAAAAACAAAUAGAAUAAAAUUCUACUACUUUUCCAGAAAGGAAAUUAGAAAACUUGGAAUAGAAAAUAGAAGAAGUUGAAGAGGAUUUGGGGCAUAGGGUUUAGAAGGGGAAGAGAGGGCGUCUGGUGGCUGCUUCGGUGCUGCUGUCCCAGCGGCGCUACAGCUGCGCUGUUGACGGCGGAGUAGAGGCGGCAGCGGCUGGCUGCUCGCCGGAGCAGGGGGCCGGCGUCAGAUGGCUGUCUGGCCGCGACGGAGAGAGAGGUUGGGGGAGAGAGGAAGGCUGGGAAGAAAGGGGUCAGGGAGAGGGAAAGGGAGGCUGGGAAGGAGAGGGAGACGCCGGGCAGCGCCGCCGUCGGACGGCGGCGGCGGAAGACGAGGGAGGGAGAGAGGGUGCGCUGGUGUGUGUUUGAGGUGUGAGUGUGUGUUUGGGGGCUGGUGUGUCAUGUGUGUGCAGAAUGUGAGAGGGAGAGAAUGAGAUGUAG